RNAcentral lists this ribosomal RNA (520 nucleotides) under uncultured Glomus. RNAcentral describes it as "SSU rRNA". It matches the Rfam family "Eukaryotic small subunit ribosomal RNA", at positions 569 to 1090 of the family's 1831-position model. The record is from RNAcentral. Lineage: Eukaryota; Fungi; Glomeromycota; Glomeromycetes; Glomerales; Glomeraceae.
AGCAGCCGCGGUAAUUCCAGCUCCAAUAGCGUAUAUUAAAGUUGUUGCAGUUAAAGAGCUCGUAGUUGAAUUUCGGGGUCAGUAGGUCGGUCGUGCCACUGGUAUGAACUGGUUUUACUGAUUCCUCCCUCUUGAAGAACUGUAAUGCCAUUAAUUUGGUGUUGCAGGGAAUCAGGACUGUUACUUUGAAAAAAUUAGAGUGUUUAAAGCAGGCUUUAGCUUGAAUACGUUAGCAUGGAAUAAUGAAAUAGGACGUUUGAUCCUAUUUUGUUGGUUUCUAGGAUUGACGUAAUGAUUAAUAGGGAUAGUUGGGGGCAUUAGUAUUCAAUUGUCAGAGGUGAAAUUCUUGGAUUUAUUGAAGACUAACUACUGCGAAAGCAUUUGCCAAGGAUGUUUUCAUUAAUCAAGAACGAAAGUUAGGGGAUCGAAGACGAUCAGAUACCGUCGUAGUCUUAACCAUAAACUAUGCCGACUAGGGAUCGGAUGAUGUUAAUUUUUAAUGUACUCAUUCGGCGCCUUA